RNAcentral lists this ribosomal RNA (821 nucleotides) under Escherichia coli. Its description in RNAcentral is "partial 23S ribosomal RNA". It matches the Rfam family "Bacterial large subunit ribosomal RNA", at positions 1085 to 1890 of the family's 2925-position model. The record is from RNAcentral. Lineage: Bacteria; Pseudomonadati; Pseudomonadota; Gammaproteobacteria; Enterobacterales; Enterobacteriaceae.
CCAGACAGCCAGGAUGUUGGCUUAGAAGCAGCCAUCAUUUAAAGAAAGCGUAAUAGCUCACUGGUCGAGUCGGCCUGCGCGGAAGAUGUAACGGGGCUAAACCAUGCACCGAAGCUGCGGCAGCGACGCUUAUGCGUUGUUGGGUAGGGGAGCGUUCUGUAAGCCUGUGAAGGUGUGCUGUGAGGCAUGCUGGAGGUAUCAGAAGUGCGAAUGCUGACAUAAGUAACGAUAAAGCGGGUGAAAAGCCCGCUCGCCGGAAGACCAAGGGUUCCUGUCCAACGUUAAUCGGGGCAGGGUGAGUCGACCCCUAAGGCGAGGCCGAAAGGCGUAGUCGAUGGGAAACAGGUUAAUAUUCCUGUACUUGGUGUUACUGCGAAGGGGGGACGGAGAAGGCUAUGUUGGCCGGGCGACGGUUGUCCCGGUUUAAGCGUGUAGGCUGGUUUUCCAGGCAAAUCCGGAAAAUCAAGGCUGAGGCGUGAUGACGAGGCACUACGGUGCUGAAGCAACAAAUGCCCUGCUUCCAGGAAAAGCCUCUAAGCAUCAGGUAACAUCAAAUCGUACCCCAAACCGACACAGGUGGUCAGGUAGAGAAUACCAAGGCGCUUGAGAGAACUCGGGUGAAGGAACUAGGCAAAAUGGUGCCGUAACUUCGGGAGAAGGCACGCUGAUAUGUAGGUGAAGUCCCUCGCGGAUGGAGCUGAAAUCAGUCGAAGAUACCAGCUGGCUGCAACUGUUUAUUAAAAACACAGCACUGUGCAAACACGAAAGUGGACGUAUACGGUGUGACGCCUGCCCGGUGCCGGAAGGUUAAUUGAUGGGGU